Long non-coding RNA from Engraulis encrasicolus (European anchovy), 2417 nucleotides. RefSeq lists it as uncharacterized. The record is from RefSeq and is a predicted model, not a curated record. The transcript is spliced from 3 exons. NCBI's taxonomy places the organism in Eukaryota, Metazoa, Chordata, Actinopteri, Clupeiformes, Engraulidae.
CAAAACGUUCAUCCAGGAUCAACGUUUUGGCCAGCCAAUCAGAAGUCAGCAGCAAGAGAAGAGCCCGCCUACUCAUGAAGUCGUACACCUGAAGUCCAGCGAAUGGAGUUGGUAUGAAAUUGUAGGCCUAAUGGAUCCACACCGUGACCUAGUGCACCGGACCCUGUUGAGAUGCAGCCACCUCAGCUUCAUGAAGAAACGGCAAGAUUCAGAUGACUACACCGUUUCAGAUCUACUCGUCUCGCUCACCUGUCCACCUGGAUGAAGGAUCACACUCUGCAGCUGAACAUGUCCAAAACCAAGCUCCCAAUCAAAUUGUUCUAGGUUAAUCUCUAACAACAAACUUUUUCUUCACACAUUGUGCCUUGCUGAUUUUGUUUGUUUGCAUAUGUAACUGAGGUAGCCUGGUUUUACCAGACCACAUUAAUUGCUUCGUAAGUAAUUUUAGGUCUGGAUCCUUGGUGUCCUUGAGCACCAGGGCGGGAGAAGUGAGCUCAGCUCUGAUUUGAAAUGAGCUCUGUCCAAUCGCUGACAAUUGACGUAUGUUAUUCUCCCAAGUGCGUUCACGCCGGUUGUCAGUGUUGCCAGAUGUACGAUAAUUUAUACCAUAAUUUUGUUCUUCCGCCGGUCAGGUAGCGUAUGUCACACUUAGUAUACAAAGCUUGACAUGGUACCAUUAUAGUCCCAAGAUGGAGCAAACAACACAGGUGUUGACAUUAUAUAGCAUGGGCAACUUAUGAUGAGGAGGGCCAUGUUUUUUUCAGCACCAGCAUCAGGGGUUCACAUGACCACGGAUCUGACUCCAAUUUACAGAGUUGUUUGCUCUCUGACUGUCCUUAUUGUUUGGAAGGAAUAGAAUACUCUACCUGUAUGCUCAAUACUCUAUUGGGCAGUCAUGGGUAAGCAGUUAGGGUGUCAGACUUGUAGCCCAAAAGUUGCCGGUUCGACUCCCGACCCGCCAGGUUGGUGGGGGGAGUAAUAAACCAGUGCUCGCCCCCAUCCUCCUCCAUGACUGAGUUACCCUGAGCAUGGUACCGUCCCGCCUUGCUCCCUUGGGGCACCAUUGAGGGUUGCCCCCUUGCACGGAUGAGACAUGAAUGUGUGCACUUGCGUGCUGUGUCACAAUGACAAUGUGAGUUGGAGUUUCCCAAUUAGGCUUUCACUUUCACGCUUUCACUCUAUUGGCCUACAGUAUAAUUACAACAGAUUGAUUCAGUAAUCGUGUUUAAAAAAUAUGGUCAUUAUUUUCUUAAUUAGGCCUACUGCUUUAUGUAUAGGGCGCAUUGAGUGAGGAGGCGGGCUGCAUGUGGCCCCCGGGCAUCCAUUUGCCCAUCCCUGUUGUAGAGUGAACUACACAGUGAUUGUUGUCUAUAGCAGUGGUUCUUAACCUGGGGUGGGGGCACCCCCUCGGGGUUCGCCAGAGAUUCCAGGGCGUGUGCGGAAUUUUGUUAGUGUUGAGGUUGUGACCAAAAUUCUGUUUGGGAACAUUAAAAUUAGGCCAAAUCAGAACCAAAUUAAAAAUAUAUGGUCCCCAUUUAAAGCCAUAAAGAUUUUGAUUGAUGUCUCUUUGUAAUUAUAAAGGAUGAUAUUAAUCACCUGAAUCAUUUUUAGCCUAUUGUAGGACAUUGUAGCCUAAAGGUUGUUGGUUCGACUCUGGACCCACCAGGUUGGUGGGGGCAGUGAUCAAGCAGUGUUCUCCUCCAUGACUGAAGUAUCCUGAGCAUAGUACCGCCCCGCCGCACUCCUCCCUUUCCGGCGCCAUUGUGAUUUGCCCCCUUGCACGGAUGGGGCAUAAAAUCGAUUGCUAUGUGUGCCGUGGAAUGCUGUGUCACAAUGACACUGGAAGUUGGAGUUACCCAAUUGUGCUUUUACUGGGUUAUUUAAUGGAAGGUACAGUCAUCUAUUACCUAUGAGAAGUAGCAAUAUGCAGUUGUAUUGCUCACACUACCCUUGACUUGUCAGUACAUUGCAUUUUUCGGCUCAGCCCUUUCCGAGAUCUGGGCUAUUCUAAUGGGGGCAGAUUAUGUUUACAUUAAAAACUUUCUACACCAAAUAUUGAUGCAUAACCUUUUGGAUGAUUUUUGGGGGUAAAAAUCUCAGGUACUGACAAGUCCAGGGUAGUGUGAGCAUGACGACUGCAUGUUGAAAUUGGCUGAGCCUUUUAGGAAGCCGGUUGCAUGUAUGUUGGAAACAAUAUUUGACAGCGUCUUAUGUUGGAAACAAUAUUUGACAGCUUAUACUGCAGCGUCUUAUCGCUACUACAAAUUAUUAUGUAAAUGUGGAUUUAUUUUUUAUGACAUGAAUACCAGGCUCUACUGUAUUUGAAGAAACUGACAAUAAAGCUGCCACUUGUUAACAUGGUGUUGCAUUUCUGUCUGUUGAUCUUAAAUCUAAAAAUUGUGUAAUGAAAUUGUCAU